GGCCACUGCUGUCUUGAUAUGAGCUGGUUUCCCUCCAAGGUCAUAGUCUCUCAAUAGCACUCAUUAACCCUGAAUGCUGUAAAAAGAGAUGUAUGCAAAGGAAUGCUGUACUUCCAUGGUGGGAGAGUCCUUAGAAAUCAUGUGGUUCAAUACUCUCCAUGUAUCCUUUUUCUCCAAGUGACUUCCCAAGAUCACAUAUCUGCUUAGGGACAGAACUAUAAUGAACACACAGAGUAACUCUAAGAAAAAUGCAUUUUACAAGGACAUUAUAACUGCGAUAACACUGUCUUUAUAUCCUGAUAUCAAGACCAAAUAAAAUGAAGAUCUGAAGGAAGUGGCCUCAUAAGACUGGAUGCGGCUUUUUAUUGAUGGAAAGAGGAGCAUUCUGCUCACCAGAAACAAAUUCAGUCGUCGGAUGCUCGCUACGCUCAGGAUUUAUCAAAGCAACAGUACGCUGUGGUUUCUUUUUAAAUUUUUAUUGAAGAACAAAACCAAAAAAAGCGGCAAAAUAUUUUUUUUCAGGACUUCCUUGUUUUUAUUUCAGGGAUUUUUAAAAGUCAUUCUUUUAAGUCUCUGACAGAUUUGGAAAACUUUGGAUGAUGGUACAUUCUUCUUUGUGAUGUCCUUUGUGCUGACAGACUGUCUUGGCUCCCUUAAGAAGGAGGCUGAGAGCCUGACAGUACCCUGGAUGACUGGACCGUUCUUCUCAGUAGUUGUCUCGAGGAGUCUGCUCAGACUUAUGUGCAAAUGCAGCCUGAAAAUCAAGAGAAAAUUCUCAGAAGUGUUCUACAGACAUACUUUGAAGAUAUUUCAGAUCUUUCCCCAAAAGCAUAUUUUACAAUGAAACAAAGGAUGAGACCCCAGAGUGCAGAAUGAAUCUACGUGUGUACUGGGAACUGGGAGACGAGUGCAAACCUGAGUGCAAAGAGCGAAAGAAGAUGGAGGCCCCAUGAUUCUGCUUCUGUGGCAACAGCCAAAGCCAUAUUCUGCCACUUCUACCGUAUCUCCUCUAUUCUCUAAAUGGCGGCUGCUCGGCCAAAGGAAAGAAUUCGAUCUGAGGUUGGAGGUUGGAGGAAGAGGAAUGAGUCCACAGAUACACAUUUUAGGUGUGCUGCCUGGAGAUGAUGCAAGUGCUGUCAAGUUUCCCAACCUGGAUUUUAUUUCCUUCAUGAUGAGAAAUAGAAGUACAUAAUUUGGCAGAGAGAAAAGUGAUUAUCCUGUUGGUUAAGAGGAAAAUGUUUUAGUGAUAUGAAAAAUAAAAAAUCACUACAAA
Long non-coding RNA from Prionailurus viverrinus (fishing cat), 1273 nucleotides. RefSeq lists it as uncharacterized. The transcript is spliced from 4 exons. The record is from RefSeq and is a predicted model, not a curated record. NCBI's taxonomy places the organism in Eukaryota, Metazoa, Chordata, Mammalia, Carnivora, Felidae.